Molecule: unclassified non-coding RNA, 496 nt
Filed under: uncultured Glomus
Lineage: Eukaryota; Fungi; Glomeromycota; Glomeromycetes; Glomerales; Glomeraceae
Description: SSU rRNA
Rfam family: Eukaryotic small subunit ribosomal RNA
Source: RNAcentral
CCAAUAGCGUAUAUUAAAGUUGCUGCAGUUAAAAAGCUCGUAGUUGAAUUUCGGGACCAAUAUGUCGGUCGUGCUUCGGUACGUACUGUCAUUAUUGGUUUCUCCCUUCUGAAGAACCUUGAUGUCAUUAAUUUGGUGUCUUGGGGAAUCAGGACUGUUACUUUGAAAAAAUUAGAGUGUUUAAAGCAGGCUCGCGCUUGAAUACAUUAGCAUGGAAUAAUGAAAUAGGACGUUUGAUUCUAUUUUGUUGGUUUCUAGGAUCGACGUAAUGAUUAAUAGGGAUAGUUGGGGGCAUUAGUAAUAAAUUGGCAGAGGUGAAAUUCUUGGAUUUAUUGAAGACUAACUACUGCGAAAGCAUUUGCCAAGGAUGUUUUCAUUAAUCAAGAACGAAAGUUAGGGGAUCGAAGACGAUCAGAUACCGUCGUAGUCUUAACCAUAAACUAUGCCGACUAGGGAUCGGACGGUGGUUUUUUUAUGCCCCGUUCGGCACCUUCCG